RNAcentral lists this long non-coding RNA (579 nucleotides) under Strigops habroptila (Kakapo). RNAcentral's name for it is "lncRNA (ENSSHBG00005013173.1)". Lineage: Eukaryota; Metazoa; Chordata; Aves; Psittaciformes; Psittacidae. The record is from RNAcentral.
GGAGCCGGCCCCGGAGCACCCGCACUUGGGGGGGCUGCCCCCCCAUUCCACGCAGCCACAGGGGGCGCUGCCGCACGGGGCGGGGCCACCCCUGCCCCGCCCACAGGGGGCGGAGCUUCGGCCAGCCUCUUUGGGACCCUGCGCCCCCCCCCGCCGCCCUAUGGGGGUUACAGCAACCCCUUUGUGGCCGCCCCCCGGCCCUGCACCAACCCCUUCCAGAGCAACGGUGCUGCUUUCGCCACCCCCCCGGUGCCCAGCGCGUUCCCCCCCCCCUUCCAGGCUGAUGGUAAGAACCCAGUGUGGGGGGGGUGUGAUAUAUCCCCCCCCCCCACUGACCCCCCGUUCUCUGCCCCCCGCAGGUUCACCCUUCGGUGGCUUCAACGGCGCCAAAGCCUCAACCAACCCCUUCGUGACGGUCCCGGCUGCCCCCUUUGGCAUCAAGCACCCGGCCACCAACCCGUUCCUAUAGCUGCUGCUGCGCUGGGGGGGGCACAGGGACACCCCCCCCCCAUCCAGGACCAGGUUCUAUUUUUAUGACAGAUGUAUCGCGAUAUCUAAUAUAUAUUCGAUAUAAACCGC